Molecule: non-coding RNA, 182 nt
Filed under: Mailhella massiliensis
Lineage: Bacteria; Pseudomonadati; Thermodesulfobacteriota; Desulfovibrionia; Desulfovibrionales; Desulfovibrionaceae
Description: 6S RNA
Rfam family: 6S / SsrS RNA
About the family: E. coli 6S RNA was the first non coding RNA to be sequenced, but its function was unknown until recently. It consists of 184 nucleotides that fold into an extended hairpin structure with a large single-stranded internal bulge.
Source: RNAcentral
UAUUCCCUGGGAUGUGCGUGGGGAGCUAGCUUGCGCCGGCCUCACUAGCGUUAACAGGGAGCCAGUCUCCGAAAUGGUGUGCAUACCCGCCGAGAGCGGGCAGCCUGAAGUUUCGGACAGGCGCCCACUUGGAGACCACCAGGUCUCGUGCCAGCAGCUUUUCACGGCAUCCCGGGUUCUUC